CCUUGCCUGGGGCCCCUUUGCAUCCAAACCUUGACACCUGGCAGCAGACACCUGGCCUGGGCCCUCAUUUAGGUCCCUAUCCUAGGAUUGCAAUUAUAAUAUAAUCAAAACGAGGUGGUAUGAUAGGAUUGAGACAUUUGUAAGUUUGUCUUUUUUUUAAAAUUUUUUAUUGUUGGUUGUUCAAAACAUUACAAAUUUCUUGACAUAUCAUAUUCCACACUUUGAUUCAAGUGGGUUAUGAACUCCCACCUUCACCCCAUACACAGAUUGCAGAAUCACAUCAGUUACACAUUCAUUGAUUUACAUAUUGCCAUACUAGUGUCUGUUGUGCUCCGCUGGUAAGUUUGUCUUGUAUGUAAGUCCCAAUGGACUAAUUCUGUUACAUUGUCCCAGUUGAUCCUAAUAGUCACUAUGAGGCUGUCAAAUGCUCUGAGACAUAUUGAAUCUAAAUAUUGACUAAAAUACAAGAAUGAGGGUGUACAUACAAUGGCAUUGCAAUUCCAACUUCCAUCUGUCUGUAUUCAUAAAAAUACAAACUUCCAUCUUGGAAAACAGAGCCUGGUUUUUCCUGAAUCCACCCUGCUUGUACACAUUCCUGUAGAUCAAAAUCCUAUGGAGCUCUCAGAGAUCUGGGUCAAUGUAAUACCAUAGGUUUGCACAUGCAUAUAUUGUAGAGUAAGGGAAAUUAUCCUUAGAGGAUUGGGUUCUAAUUUUAUUUUUUCUAGUUUGUUCCCACAUUAUGUCCUUUUAAAACUUGUCUGGAAGAUGUGGGAAUUGACCUGGGUAUGGUAAUAUGGGCUUUGGUCCUACUAUUAAGGUCAGUAUUGCAGCCUGUUUAGGUAUUAUGCCCUGUAGUAUUUCUUCUGAAUAAUAUGCUUCAUUCAUAAAAAGUACAUAUCUGAAAGAGUUGCAAUUUGCAAUCUUAUGUCUAAUGAGAAGGGAUGAGUCUAUGUUAUUAGUUGGGUCAGGGAGCAUCAGGACAGCUAAGUUGUGGGUAAGAUUAUAAAAGGAAUAAGACACAAGAUUAACUUUUUGUGGAGCAUUUUCAGCAGUGGCAAUCUAUUAUGUUCUAAUAACACUAUAUUAUCUAUAUUUCCUAUAUUCUGGCAAGAUUCUAUAUUAAAAUGGGAGGCAUAAAAAUUAAAAAUGAAUAGAUGGGUUAUUUGACUUUUAAAAGCAUCCCAAAAGGGGUGGUAGUUUAUUUGGGUAUGUUCCCCCCC
Molecule: long non-coding RNA, 1220 nt
Filed under: Marmota monax (woodchuck)
Lineage: Eukaryota; Metazoa; Chordata; Mammalia; Rodentia; Sciuridae
Source: RNAcentral